Long non-coding RNA from Myotis daubentonii (Daubenton's bat), 235 nucleotides. RefSeq lists it as uncharacterized. The record is from RefSeq and is a predicted model, not a curated record. NCBI's taxonomy places the organism in Eukaryota, Metazoa, Chordata, Mammalia, Chiroptera, Vespertilionidae.
CUAGGAUCUCCAGUCAGGUUCUGUUUAGGUUCUCUUGCCAGGUUCUGUAGCCAUGUUCUCUCGCUAGGUUCUCCAGCCAGGUUCUAUCCAGGUUCUCCUGCCAUGUUCUGUCUAGGUUCUCCAGCCAAGUUCUGUAGCCAGGUUCUGUCCAGGAUCUUUUGCCAUGUUCUCUCGCUAGGUUCUGUGUCCAUGUUCUGUCUAGGAUCUCCAGCCAAGUUCUGUGUCUAGGUUUUCU